CCCGGGCAAGUGCAGGUCCUGGCUCCCAGUCCAUCCCGGGAGGUUUACGCCCGGCGCGCGCCUGCCUGGGGCAGGGCUGCCCCCGGUCUAGGAAAGGCUUACGCUGUCUCUCCCGCGGGUUUAUUGAGCCUGUCUCUGGGAACUUAGUAAGUAAGGGAGGGGAGAGCUGUGGCCAGCGCCUGGAUGCUGUGAGCAUGUAACAGGGAAACCCAGUUUAGAUUGCAAUCAGAAAGCCUGUUUUGAAUGGCUUUGACAUUUGAGGGAGGGUGGGGGAAACUCCUCAUUCAACGGAGAUGGAAGGGAGGAAGAAAGGGAUCACGGAUGACCCCGAGUUGAGCACCGUUCUCUAAGAUAAAGAGGCUUGAGAAGUUUGGCAGGGAAGUGGUGAAGAUCAAGAGUUGCGUUUUGGACAUGUGAAUCCGAGGAGAAAUGACAUCUACAUAGAUGCAUAUGUGGGGCUGAAGCUCACCAAGAGUGACAAGGCUGGAGAUAGUAAUCAGUAUCGGAAUACUGAUGGUAUUUGAAGCCGUGGAAUUGGAUGGCAUUGCCUCCCAUAGAGCCAGAAAGUGAAAAAACCAACCUGCAGAGGCUGAGAAGAGGAAUCAGUAAAGGACAACAAGCAGAGCCGGCCAGAGAAGUACACAGAAACCUAGGGGUGGGGGAGGCCUCUGGGGCUGAGUGAAGAACUGUUUCAGGAGAUGGGGAUCACAGAAUCCUUCCACCCACGUCCUGCUGUCACCUAUCAGCAUACCUGCGGAAGACCCAUCCCACCCCGUGCUGUCCCCCCAGCUGCUCCCCUGCGACCAUUCUUCACCACCUCCAGGAGCCUCCUUUGUCCUACCUUUUCUGCCCAGUCUAUUGCCCCCUCCUUCCCUUCCCUCCUCAUCCAGCUGCAAUUCCGUGUUCCCCCAUGCCAGUACUGGUUUUGCUGUUACCCUCAACAUCCUUGCUCCUCGGUCCUUGUCACACUCGCCUGACAGAACCUGAGCCCAGAUGCACUCCACCUGCGUUCUCUGCACCUGCCCCUGCAGGAGGAGCGGCACAGCCGGGCAGCAUCAGCGGUAGGAACGCCAACGGCCCUCGGUCCUGCCUGGCUCUCCUCCAUUCCCUGCAAAUGGAAAAAUGCCUUUGCAAAAGGCAAAGACACGGCCAAGCCUUCUCCGCUCUCCUCAGCCUGCCUGCAGCCCUUCCCAGACACCUACCUGGCCUCUGCUUAUGGGGAAAAGCGAAGUCAUCAGACGGUAACGCAUGGUCCAGCCCACCAUUGCUGCCCCUCCGCCCUUCCUAGCCUCCGUGGAGCCAGAAAAAUGCCUGUCCUGCCCAAGAAAGUCUUCAGAUCCCAUUUCGCACUUUCUCGGAAAACUUAAGGUGUUGAUUAUCAUACCUCUCCUCACAACCUGGCUCCUAGAAAUGGUCUUUCACUUUGCUGCUCUCUUUCUUCUUAAAAACACAGCAACUGAGCUGAAGACAAACACAAAAAAACUUUCCUGAAACGCUUAUGUGUCUCCAGCUAUGACCCCCUUUCUCUCCUUCACAGCACACUUCUCCGAAGAGUUGUGAUGCUCUGCCCCCACUUCCCCAACCUUACCCCACUCCAGUUUGCCUUCGGCCCCAUCACUGGAAACAAAAGAGCGCUCAUGAAGGUCCCCAGGGAGCUCCAUGUCGCUAUGUUCAUGACAACUUUUCAGUCAUUUUAUGGGCUCCGUACCUUUUAAUCACUCCCUCAUUCUCAUGAAAUUUUGUUGAUAUUUAUGUUGGUCCUUACUUGAGUAAAUCUGUUCCUGUUGUACACGAGAUCCACGAGGGGAGGGCUGUGUGUCUGUACUGCGGUCUGUCCCUCGGCCCUUACAUCCAGUUGCCUACUUCUUCUCACCUCCACUAAGGUGCCUCAGAGCACUUGGAAACCAGCAUCUCUAAACCAACCCUCCUGACCUUCGCCACCAGGGUCCUCUCUCAGGGUCCCAUAUCCCUGUCAGUGGCACCUCCGCCCACACAAGUGCACAAAUCAAGAAGCUGGAGUCAUCCUGGACACUUCUCACCCUCUUACCAUCCCCCAUGCCAAAGGCCAAUAGACCAUCGAUAAGGAAAGUCUGGAGAUUGAGGAACCCCCAUGGUUCACUACUCCAACCUUCCCUACAGAAGAGCAUAUUUGGAACAAGAGCCCCACAAGAAUGUUGGCCAAGAGCAGGGAGGAAGUAGUGCAGUUGGGGGCGGGGAGGGGACGAGGUGCUCAGAAAAGACUUGCCUUCCUUCAAUGCUGGGCAUCUUAUCCCUCUUCCCAGAGAGUUAAAUUCAGUCAGCUAUGGCAGAGUUUUGUUCCCAACAGAGCCAGGCUUAAUUUUUGUGCACCUCACCUUGGGUCUGCAAGCAGCACUGAGAACUGCCUGGUGAUGGGUGAGAGGUCCCCGAACACAGUGGUCUUGACAGUGGCUGUGGCCCAGGAAAUGCAGAGCAUCCGGGAAGCCACUGCAGGCCACGCAGAAUCCAGAGGAUCUGGAACUACCUUGGCAAACCAAAUCUUUGCCUCUCCAUGGUCCAUUUCUUUCAGUCACAAACGUAUUUGUUUCUGUAUAGUUGAGCAUUAAAGACAUUGAAUGUUUGCCUCAUGCCCAUAUAGAAUUCCCUAUUCUUCCCAGAUUUAAAAAAUUAUCUUUUCCUUGGUAAACAUUAAGACUCUGAAACUAGCCCAUAAAAGUAGAUCAACAGUCAUUUCUAGAAUUUUGAGUUUGCAGAUAUUACCAGGACUCAAAUUCGUAUGUGCCUGAUACCAGCUUGGGAAUCACCAUAAAUGACAGACCAGAAUUAGAAUUAGGUGAGAAUAUUCUUUCCAUUGUAUCCCCAUCCAGUCUGAUAAUUCCUUCAUUUAUCAGAAGGUUCUUUCUGUGGGUUUCCUUUGUUACUUAGGCAGAUGUUUCCUUCCUCGUUUCAGUUAUUUCCGUUCAUAGUUCCUAUUUCUGCUCCUUCUUUAAACAUUAAAUUGACAAAAGAUUGCAAAGCUA
Non-coding RNA from Leptonychotes weddellii (Weddell seal), 2999 nucleotides. The record is from RefSeq and is a predicted model, not a curated record. Lineage: Eukaryota; Metazoa; Chordata; Mammalia; Carnivora; Phocidae.